GGGCAUGGGUUGCUGGCUCCGGCUCCGCAGGCUCGGCUGCCUGACAUGUUGGUACUGGGAACUGCAGCCGAUGUCGUAGCGCAGAUCCUGUUUCUGCAGCGUGCCGCUAGAGAUGGAACCGUUGUGCUGGUGGCCAUUGCGCAUCGAGUGAUGGUGCGCAUGCGAAUGGGGAUGCUGCAGCUGCUCAUCGGCGUCCACAUCAGCGCUGGUGAUGGUUCGCGAUUUGACGGCGCCCAUUAUGGUGGCAAAGCGACCAGAGCCCGAAACCGAGCCGGAGACGGAGCCGCCUCCUCCUCCUCCUCCGCCGCCUCCUCCCCCUGGAUCCUGUAAUCCCCGGGAUCCGGAUCCUCCGCCGCCGAUGGCGUCCUCGAUGGUCGCCGCUUGGAGCGCAGUGCUAAGGGACAGCGAGAGGGUACCCCAUACAGUCCGGCAAAGGGCACGCGUGCGUUCCGGGCAACUUGAAACAAAAACACAAUUUGUUGCUACUGUUGUUGCUGUUGUUGUUGCUGGUGGUGCAACGGCGGCACUCACACAGGCACACAGCCACUAGCACUCACACACACACACACCUACAGCAAGACACGGAUGCAGGCACACAAACACAGACAAAGGACCAGAUUUCGAUGAAAGGCUCCUGCGGCAGGCGACGCCUCUUGUGCUUUGUUUGCAGGUUUUUCCGAGCGAGGGACGUGCGAAUUGCUUGCAAUUUGCCUUACACACCGCAUUAGACUCGGUCUGUGGGCGAUAAGUGUGGGAACCGAGAGCAACUGCAGUUAAAUGCACUUUAUUUUGCCGACCGACCGCACGACAACCGCGCUACACGAAUAUUCGGGACAGUGUGACCGAACUGGGUCUGCGCACGGAAACCAAAGACUGGCGGGAAAACACCCUAAAUGUGCCGAAAACUGCGCUUAGCAAAGUUUUAAGCCAGUUGAUUUAAUUAAUAUGCAUUUUUGUGGU
Molecule: non-coding RNA, 960 nt
Organism: Drosophila melanogaster (fruit fly)
Lineage: Eukaryota; Metazoa; Arthropoda; Insecta; Diptera; Drosophilidae
Source: Ensembl